GCAGGAGGUUCGACUCGAGCGAAGCGAGAGAACGUUGCGUCAGCAACGGCCCGCAGGGCGAGCCACGAAGUGGUGAGUCAUCCUCUAUCACCGACCA
RNAcentral lists this small RNA (97 nucleotides) under Klebsiella pneumoniae. RNAcentral's name for it is "partial RtT sRNA". It matches the Rfam family "RtT RNA", at positions 35 to 130 of the family's 130-position model. From Rfam's summary of the family: This family represents a bacterial cis-regulatory element known as RtT RNA. Lineage: Bacteria; Pseudomonadati; Pseudomonadota; Gammaproteobacteria; Enterobacterales; Enterobacteriaceae. The record is from RNAcentral.